AUGAAGAAGGCUGAACAGAGGCAGUGCGGACUCAUCCUUGGCUUGUUUGGACUCAUCCUUGGCUUGUUUGGACAAGCAUCGGGGCUGCUAGUAAACUUGGCCAAAACCGCAGCCAUCCCGAUCCGGUGCGUUCAAGAGGAGAUCCCAUUGGUAAGGGACACGCUUGGAUGUCCGACGGCUGAGUUCCCAUGCAAGUACUUGGGGCUACCACUGUCCAUCAGGAAACAAUCGGCGGCACAGCUCAGAUAUCUAGUGGACCAACUCGCCGCCCGCUUGCCACACUGGAAGGCCGCAACUUUGCCGCCAAGUAGCAGGGCUCCUGCUCGUUCAGGCCGUCCUAAGUGCAAUUCCGGUUCACUCGAUGCUUGCAAUGGGCCUCCCACCGAAAACACUGUCAGCCAUGGUCAAAAUCUGCCGCAGCUUUUUCUGGAGCGGUAA
RNAcentral lists this ribosomal RNA (438 nucleotides) under Triticum aestivum (bread wheat). RNAcentral describes it as "partial small subunit ribosomal RNA". The record is from RNAcentral. Lineage: Eukaryota; Viridiplantae; Streptophyta; Magnoliopsida; Poales; Poaceae.